AUUGAACGCUGGCGGCAUGCUUUACACAUGCAAGUCGAACGGUAACAGGUUAAGCUGACGAGUGGCGAACGGGUGAGUAAUGCAUCGGAACGUGCCCGAUCGUGGGGGAUAACGCAGCGAAAGCUGCGCUAAUACCGCAUACGAUCUGAGGAUGAAAGCGGGGGACCGUAAGGCCUCGCGCGAUCGGAGCGGCCGAUGUCAGAUUAGGUAGUUGGUGGGGUAAAGGCCUACCAAGCCGACGAUCUGUAGCUGGUCUGAGAGGACGACCAGCCACACUGGGACUGAGACACGGCCCAGACUCCUACGGGAGGCAGCAGUGGGGAAUUUUGGACAAUGGGCGCAAGCCUGAUCCAGCGACGCCGCGUGCAGGAAGAAGGCCUUCGGGUUGUAAACUGCUUUUGUACGGAGCGAAAAGGCUCUCUCUAAUACAGGGGGCUCAUGACGGUACCGUAAGAAUAAGCACCGGCUAACUACGUGCCAGCAGCCGCCGUAA
RNAcentral lists this ribosomal RNA (493 nucleotides) under uncultured bacterium. Its description in RNAcentral is "partial 16S ribosomal RNA". It matches the Rfam family "Bacterial small subunit ribosomal RNA", at positions 29 to 523 of the family's 1533-position model. The record is from RNAcentral.